This 535-nucleotide long non-coding RNA is filed under the name Citrus x clementina. RNAcentral describes it as "Citrus clementina (C. clementina) long non-coding RNA (CCLE_LNC005776)". Lineage: Eukaryota; Viridiplantae; Streptophyta; Magnoliopsida; Sapindales; Rutaceae. The record is from RNAcentral.
UAUAUUGCUUGCGAAAUUAAUUAUUUUCCCACGGACCAUAAUAAUUAGACAGGGGUGCAAAAGUUUUUGUUUGUGAUUGCAAUCUCCACUCAGGAGUUGCUUCUGCAGUGGAAAUCGGGUGGUUUCCUUCAACAUACACCUCUCGCCUAUUAUUAGUUUCUGGUGAUAUUUCAUGUGUUUAUGAUAUCUAUUUAACAGUUUAGUUAGCAUCUGUCAUUACCAUCAAUAUACUGUGUGUGAAAUUAAUUAUUUUCCCAUGUACCAUAAUGAUUAGACGGGUGCAAAAGUUUUUGUUAGUGAUUGAGAUCUCCACUCAGGAGUUGCUUCUGCAGUGGGAAUCGGGUGGUUUCCUUCAACAUAUACCUCUCGCCUAUUAUUAAUUUCUGGUGAUAUAUCAUGUGAUUACAAUAUCUAUUUAACAGUUUAGUUUAGCUUCUGGCAGUACCAUCACAUCAUGUCUUUUGAUGAUUUCUUACUGUCAUGUUCCAUAUAUAUUACGGUAUUGAUCUAGUCAUUUUGUGUUUGGCUUGAACUA